RNAcentral lists this small nuclear RNA (44 nucleotides) under Eremothecium sinecaudum. RNAcentral's name for it is "HGLSNR3". Lineage: Eukaryota; Fungi; Ascomycota; Saccharomycetes; Saccharomycetales; Saccharomycetaceae. The record is from RNAcentral.
AACUUUGUCCAAUAUCCACCGCAUAGACAGUACGAGGCUCGAGC